UCCUAAAAUACCCUCGUUCAUAACAUCUUCUAUCACAAAUCUGUUGAUCCAUCCACAGCUGCUGCCAAUCCUCCACAUCCAAAAAAAAAUCAAUCCAGAUCGCCGGCCAAUCCAUCUUCCACGGCCAUCCACCACCACAGCCCCCAGCCGGCCAUCCACCACCACAGCCCCCAGCCGCCGCGCCUCCAUCUCCAUCAGCCGUCGCCAACAUCAACUAUCCCGUCGAUCCCCUUUGUUUCCAAAAAAAAGAUCAGCCGAUCCUGGUAGCCAGCAGCAGCGUCACCUCAACCGUAAACACGCCGCUGCCGCUACCCCACUACGCGCCGCCACCCCCACAGCCCGAUCCCCACCACCAUCUCGCGCAGCCACAACCCCGCUUUCGACCGCUGAGCCAACUCCCC
This 401-nucleotide long non-coding RNA is filed under the name Sorghum bicolor (sorghum). RNAcentral describes it as "long non-coding RNA (SBIC_LNC014905)". The record is from RNAcentral. Lineage: Eukaryota; Viridiplantae; Streptophyta; Magnoliopsida; Poales; Poaceae.